UUCCGGUUGAUCCUGCCGGAGGCUACCGCUAUUGGAGUUCGAUUAAGCCAUGCGAGUCGAGAGUCUUAGGGACUCGGCGUACCGCUCAGUAACACGUGGGUAACCUGCCCUAUGCUGGGGAAUAACCUCGGGAAACUGAGAAUAGUACCCCAUAGUUCACCACGCCUGGAACGGUGGGUGGAUGAAAGCUCCGGCGGCAUAGGAUGGGCCUGCGACGUAUCAGGUUGUAGGGGGUGUAACGUACCCUCUAGCCAUCAACGCGUACGGGUGUUGGGAGACAUAGCCCGGAGAUGGAUUCUGAGACACGAAUCCAGACCCUACGGGGUGCAGCAGGCGCGAAAACUUGGCAAUGCGAGCAAUCGUGACCAGGGAACUCCAAGUGGCUGGGGUAAUACCCAGUUUUUUCUUGACUCUUCAAAGGUCUUGGAAUAAGGGGUGGGUAAGGACGGUGCCAGCCGCCGCGGUAAUACCGGCGCCUCAAGUGGUAGUCGCUUUUAUUGGGCCUAAAACGUCCGUAGCCGGUCUGGUGCAUUCGUGGGUAAAUCAACCCGCUCAACGGGUUGAAUUCUGCGAGCACGGCCAGACUUGGGACCGGGAAAGGUGUGGGGUACUCUCAGGGUAGGGGUAAAAUCCUGUCAUCCUGAGAGGACCACCUGUUGCGAAGGCGCCACACUAGAACGGAUUCGACGGUCAGGGACGAAACCUAGGGGCACGAACCGGAUUAGAUACCCGGGUAGUCCUAGGUGUAAACGCUGUGGACUUGAUGUUGGGGGUGCUCCGAGCAC
Molecule: ribosomal RNA, 785 nt
Filed under: uncultured Candidatus Poseidoniales archaeon
Lineage: Archaea; Methanobacteriati; Thermoplasmatota; Candidatus Poseidoniia; Candidatus Poseidoniales
Description: bacterial SSU rRNA
Rfam family: Archaeal small subunit ribosomal RNA
Source: RNAcentral